CUUGUUGUGGCCGAGCGGUCAAGGUGAUGGACUAAAAAUCCAUUGGGAUCUCCCCGCACAGGUUUGAAUCCUGUCAACAAUG
This is a non-coding RNA of Pelmatolapia mariae (spotted tilapia), 82 nucleotides long. The record is from the annotation of a RefSeq genome assembly. NCBI's taxonomy places the organism in Eukaryota, Metazoa, Chordata, Actinopteri, Cichliformes, Cichlidae.